This 334-nucleotide ribosomal RNA is filed under the name uncultured Sphingobacteriales bacterium. RNAcentral's name for it is "bacterial SSU rRNA". It matches the Rfam family "Bacterial small subunit ribosomal RNA", at positions 1049 to 1382 of the family's 1533-position model. Lineage: Bacteria; Pseudomonadati; Bacteroidota; Sphingobacteriia; Sphingobacteriales. The record is from RNAcentral.
UUGUCGUCAGCUCGUGCCGUGAGGUGUCGGGUUAAGUCCCAUAACGAGCGCAACCCUUAUCGUUAGUUGCCAGCUGGUAAAGCAGGGGACUCUAGCGAAACUGCCACCGUAAGGUGAGAGGAAGGUGGGGAUGACGUCAAAUCAGCACGGCCCUUAUGUCCAGGGCUACACACGUGUUACAAUGGCCGGCACAGAGGGCAGCUACCUGGUGACAGGAUGCUAAUCUCGAAAACCGGUCUCAGUUCGGAUCGAAGUCUGCAACUCGACUUCGUGAAGCUGGAUUCGCUAGUAAUCGCGCAUCAGCCAUGGCGCGGUGAAUACGUUCCCGGGCCUU